GAAAACUAAUGUUAUCUUCCCAUUGGAAGAUGCAUAUUAAUGAAAACAAUUACAAAGAUAUCGAAACUACAAAAAACACCCUCAAUUUACAACUACAAAAAAUACGAUUUUCUCAUUCACCUUUAUUACCGACUCUUCAACACGGCACAGUUAUUCAUAAAUCCCACUUAUGUGAUUGGACUCAUCAAUUCAACUACGGAAAUACCACAAAAUUACCUAUGAAAUCACAAAUUCAACAGUGAAAAACAUCAAUGCAACUACGAAAAUCAUCAAUUCAACUAUGAAAACAUUAAACACAUACUAGAAGAUUCAUAGAUCUGGGGAAAAAAAAAAAGCAAUAAGCUUAAAGCAUAGUUUUCAAGUCGGCAAAUCAUUAACAUAAUUAAAACAACCCAUAACAAUCCCAACCCUAAAAUCUAUUAAUAUGAUCUUCUAAUCUAAAAUAAUAUACCUAAUUCGAUUCAAUUAAACUAAAAAAAAUUGUAAAAUUUCCGUACUAAGUAGAUCGUAUGCAUAACAGAUCGAAAUAGAUAGGAAACAAACCUCUAGGCGGCGAAUCCGAGGAGCUUGGAAUCGAAAAUCUUUAGGAUGCCGCCGGAAAUGGAGGAGAGCUCCUCGAUCUGGAUCUGUAGGUUGUGAUAGAGGACAAGGGGCUCUUGUCUUCGUUGCUCUCCUUGUUCGGCUCGAUUGAUGAUAUUUUUGUAGACGAAGAGGAGGUUGCGUUCCUCGGCGGGGAGAAGGUUGCGUUCCUCAGCGG
This 757-nucleotide long non-coding RNA is filed under the name Erythranthe guttata (spotted monkey flower). Its description in RNAcentral is "long non-coding RNA (EGUT_LNC000072)". Lineage: Eukaryota; Viridiplantae; Streptophyta; Magnoliopsida; Lamiales; Phrymaceae. The record is from RNAcentral.